GUAGACUUCGUCCGGGCUCUUACGGGAGCCGGACUUCCGCCCUGAACUCCUGUUGCAGGUAGACCUCACCCCGAACUCCUACAAGGGCCAGACUCCGAGCUCCUACCGCAAGAGACCCACCCCGAGUUUCCGCUACAAACGAUCUACUUCAAAUUUCUACCACGAGCGGCCCAUGCCGGAUUCCCACCAUAAGCCUUCAUCCAAGCUUCCAUUGCGGAUGAACCUCUCCAGUGCCAUCCGACAUCCACCGUCGGUCGGCCAUCUGUCGAAGUCUGCGCAAAAUUGGACUGCGUUUGCAGAAAGCCUCUGACCGAGCUCCUACGGCAAGUGGUCCUCGCCUGCCGCCUUAACGCCCAAGGCACCCAACAGGAUUUGCAGCAUCCGAGCUCCUCUC
RNAcentral lists this long non-coding RNA (394 nucleotides) under Elaeis guineensis (African oil palm). Its description in RNAcentral is "long non-coding RNA (EGUI_LNC066837)". The record is from RNAcentral. Lineage: Eukaryota; Viridiplantae; Streptophyta; Magnoliopsida; Arecales; Arecaceae.